UACGGAGGGUGCAAGCGUUAUCCGGAUUCACUGGGUUUAAAGGGUGCGUAGGCGGACAGGUAAGUCAGUGGUGAAAUCUCUGGACUUAACCCAGAAACUGCCGUUGAUACUAUUUGUCUUGAAUAUCCUGGAGGUAGGCGGAAUAUGUCAUGUAGCGGUGAAAUGCUUAGAUAUGACAUAGAACACCGAUAGCGAAGGCAGCUUACUACAGGAUGAUUGACGCUGAGGCACGAAAGCGUGGGGAGCAAACAGG
This 253-nucleotide ribosomal RNA is filed under the name uncultured bacterium. RNAcentral describes it as "partial 16S ribosomal RNA". It matches the Rfam family "Bacterial small subunit ribosomal RNA", at positions 524 to 776 of the family's 1533-position model. The record is from RNAcentral.